UUCUGAUAAAGGAAUCUUUUGCCCGUCCUAAAAGCACGGGCGAAUAAGGGGUGGGCAAGUCUGGUGUCAGCCGCCGCGGUAAUACCAGCACCUCGAGUGGUCAGGACGAUUAUUGGGCCUAAAGCAUCCGUAGCUGGUUUUGCAAGUCUCCGGUUAAAUCCACCUGCUUAACAGAUGGGCCGCUGGAGAUACUACAAAACUAGGGAGUGGGAGAGGCAGACGGUAUUCGGGGGGUAGGGGUAAAAUCCUCUGAUCCUUUGAGGACCACCAGUGGCGAAGGCGGUCUGCCAGAACACGUUCGACAGUGAGGGAUGAAAGCUGGGGGAGCAAACCGGAUUAGAUACCCCCGUAGUCC
RNAcentral lists this ribosomal RNA (355 nucleotides) under uncultured bacterium. Its description in RNAcentral is "bacterial SSU rRNA". It matches the Rfam family "Archaeal small subunit ribosomal RNA", at positions 390 to 747 of the family's 1478-position model. The record is from RNAcentral.